RNAcentral lists this ribosomal RNA (495 nucleotides) under uncultured bacterium. Its description in RNAcentral is "partial 16S ribosomal RNA". It matches the Rfam family "Bacterial small subunit ribosomal RNA", at positions 28 to 507 of the family's 1533-position model. The record is from RNAcentral.
GACGAACGCUGGCGGCGUGCCUAAUACAUGCAAGUAGAACGCUGAAGGAGGAGCUUGCUUCUCUGGAUGAGUUGCGAACGGGUGAGUAACGCGUAGGUAACCUGCCUGGUAGCGGGGGAUAACUAUUGGUAACGAUAGCUAAUACCGCAUAAUAGUAGAUGUUGCAUGACAUUUACUUAAAAGGUGCAAUUGCAUCACUACCAGAUGGACCUGCGUUGUAUUAGCUAGUUGGUGGGGUAACGGCUCACCAAGGCGACGAUACAUAGCCGACCUGAGAGGGUGAUCGGCCACACUGGGACUGAGACACGGCCCAGACUCCUACGGGAGGCAGCAGUAGGGAAUCUUCGGCAAUGGACGAAAGUCUGACCGAGCAACGCCGCGUGAGUGAAGAAGGUUUUCGGAUCGUAAAGCUCUGUUGUAAGAGAAGAACGAGUGUGAGAGUGGAAAGUUCACACUGUGACGGUAUCUUACCAGAAAGGGACGGCUAACUACGUG